AGUGAACGCUGGCGGUAGGCCUAACACAUGCAAGUCGAACGGCAGCGCAGUAAGAGCUUGCUCUUACGGGUGGCGAGUGGCGGACGGGUGAGGAAUACAUCGGAAUCUACUUUUUCGUGGGGGAUAACGUAGGGAAACUUACGCUAAUACCGCAUACGACCUACGGGUGAAAGCAUGGGAUCUUCGGACCUUGCGCGAUUGAAUGAGCCGAUGUCGGAUUAGCUAGUUGGCGGGGUAAAGGCCCACCAAGGCGACGAUCCGUAGCUGGUCUGAGAGGAUGAUCAGCCACACUGGAACUGAGACACGGUCCAGACUCCUACGGGAGGCAGCAGUGGGGAAUAUUGGACAAUGGGCGCAAGCCUGAUCCAGCCAUACCGCGUGGGUGAAGAAGGCCUUCGGGUUGUAAAGCCCUUUUGUUGGGAAAGAAAAGCAGCAGGUUAAUACCCCGCUGUUCUGACGGUACCCAAAGAAUAAGCACCGGCUAACUUCGUG
RNAcentral lists this ribosomal RNA (492 nucleotides) under uncultured bacterium. RNAcentral describes it as "partial 16S ribosomal RNA". It matches the Rfam family "Bacterial small subunit ribosomal RNA", at positions 29 to 507 of the family's 1533-position model. The record is from RNAcentral.